AUUGAACGCUGGCGGCAUGCUUUACACAUGCGAGUCGAACGGUAACAGGCCGCAAGGUGCUGACGAGUGGCGAACGGGUGAGUAAUGCAUCGGAACGUGCCCAGGCGUGGGGGAUAACGCAGCGAAAGCUGUGCUAAUACCGCAUACGAUCUAGGGAUGAGAGCGGGGGACCGUAAGGCCUCGCGCGAUUGGAGCGGCCCAUGUCAGAUUAGGUAGUUGGUGGGGUAAAGGCUCACCAAGCCGACGAUCUGUAGCUGGUCUGAGAGGACGACUAGCCACACUGGGACUGAGACACGGCCCAGACUCCUACGGGAGGCAGCAGUGGGGAAUUUUGGACAAUGGGCGCAAGCCUGAUCCAGCAAUGCCGCGUGCAGGAAGAAGGCCUUCGGGUUGUAAACUGCUUUUGUACGGAACGAAAAGGUUUGGGUUAAUACCCUGGGCCGAUGACGGUACCGUAAGAAUAAGCACCGGCUAACUACGUGCCAGCAGCCGCGGUAA
RNAcentral lists this ribosomal RNA (498 nucleotides) under uncultured bacterium. RNAcentral describes it as "partial 16S ribosomal RNA". It matches the Rfam family "Bacterial small subunit ribosomal RNA", at positions 29 to 523 of the family's 1533-position model. The record is from RNAcentral.